This 170-nucleotide ribosomal RNA is filed under the name Facciolella gilbertii (dogface witch-eel). Its description in RNAcentral is "partial small subunit ribosomal RNA". The record is from RNAcentral. Lineage: Eukaryota; Metazoa; Chordata; Actinopteri; Anguilliformes; Nettastomatidae.
CACCGCGGUUAUACGAGAGGCUCAAAUUGACACUCUCCGGCGUAAAGCGUGAUUAGAGACAAAACAAUACUAAGGCAAAACACCCCUUAAGCCGUCAUACGCUAAUGGGAAAACGAGGCCCUACAACGAAAGUGGCCUUAAAUAAACUUGAACUCACGACCAUUAAGAAA